RNAcentral lists this ribosomal RNA (659 nucleotides) under uncultured fungus. Its description in RNAcentral is "eukaryotic LSU rRNA". It matches the Rfam family "Eukaryotic large subunit ribosomal RNA", at positions 24 to 664 of the family's 3401-position model. The record is from RNAcentral. Lineage: Eukaryota; Fungi.
CCCGCUGAACUUAAGCAUAUCAAUAAGCGGAGGAAAAGAAACUAACAAGGAUUCCCCUAGUAACUGCGAGUGAAGCGGGAAAAGCUCAAAUUUAAAAUCUGGUGGCCUUUUGGCCAUCCGAGUUGUAAUUUAGAGAAGCGUCUUCCGCGCUGGACCGUGCACAAGUCUCCUGGAAUGGAGCGUCAUAGAGGGUGAGAAUCCCGUCUUUGGCACGGACUCCCGGUGCUUCUGUGAUGCGCUCUCGACGAGUCGAGUUGUUUGGGAAUGCAGCUCAAAAUGGGUGGUGAACUCCAUCUAAAGCUAAAUACUGGCGAGAGACCGAUAGCGAACAAGUACCGUGAGGGAAAGAUGAAAAGCACUUUGGAAAGAGAGUGAAACAGUACGUGAAAUUGUUGAAAGGGAAACGCUUGAAGUCAGUCGCGUUGCCCAGAAAUCAACCUUGCUUUUGCUUGGUGUACUUUCUGGUUAACGGGUCAGCAUCAAUUUUGACCGGUGGAUAAAGGUCAGGGGAAUGUGGCAUCUUCGGAUGUGUUAUAGCCCUUGGUUGCAUACAUCGAUUGGGAUUGAGGAACUCAGCAUGCCGCAAGGCCGGGUUUUUAACCACGUACAUGCUUAGGAUGCUGGCAUAAUGGCUUUAAUCGACCCGUCUUGAAACACGG